CCGCCCCGCGGCCCGGCUGGACCGGCCGUCAGUUGGGUUCGAGCAGCUGGCCGGGUCUCGGCUGUGCCCGGCGUGGUUGCCAUGGCGGCGGUUGCCGAGGUGACGAGGUGGCGGCUGCUGCUGGUGCUGAGUGUGGCGGCGCUGGGGGCCACGGGCGCUCCGCGGCCCCCCAACAUCCUGCUGCUGCUCAUGGACGACAUGGGGUGGGGUGACCUGGGGGUGUACGGAGAACCUUCCAGAGAGACCCCGAAUUUGGACCGGAUGGCCGCGGAAGGGAUGCUUUUCCCAAACUUCUACACGGCCAACCCCCUGUGCUCACCAUCGAGGGCGGCUCUGCUCACUGGACGUCUGCCCAUCCGCAACGGCUUCUACACGACCAGCGGGCACGCCAGGAACGCCUACACGCCUCAGGAGAUCGUGGGCGGCAUCCCAGACUCGGAGCACCUCCUGCCUGAGCUGCUGAAGGAGGCCGGCUACGUCAGCAAGAUCGUGGGCAAGUGGCACCUGGGCCACAGGCCUCAGUUCCACCCCCUGAAGCACGGAUUUGACGAGUGGUUUGGAUCCCCCAACUGCCACUUCGGACCUUAUGACAACAGGGCCAGGCCCAACAUCCCUGUGUACAGGGACUGGGAGAUGGUUGGCAGAUAUUAUGAAGAAUUUCCAAUUAAUCUGAAGACUGGAGAAGCCAACCUCACUCAGAUCUACUUACAGGAAGCCCUGGACUUCAUCAGGAGGCAGCAGGCAGCUCGGCGCCCUUUCUUUCUCUACUGGGCCGUCGACGCCACACAUGCACCUGUUUAUGCAUCCAAGCCUUUCUUGGGUACCAGUCAGCGAGGGCGGUAUGGGGACGCUGUCCGGGAGAUGGAUGACAGUGUGGGGAAAAUCCUGCGCCUCCUUCAGGACCUGAGGAUCACGGAGGACACGUUUGUUUUCUUCACAUCUGACAAUGGCGCUGCCCUCAUUUCUGCUCCCAAGCAAGGCACGUGUUGGAGCAUUCCCCUCUGGUCGUCAUGUCACCCGGCCAAACGUGGCAGUAAUGGCCCCUUUCUGUGUGGGAAGCAGACCACCUUUGAAGGCGGGAUGAGGGAGCCUGCGAUCGCGUGGUGGCCCGGGCACAUCCUUGCUGGCCAGGUGAGCCACCAGCUGGGCAGCAUCAUGGACCUCUUCACCACCAGCCUAGCCCUCGCAGGCCUGGAGCCACCCAGCGACAGGACCAUUGACGGCGUCAGCCUUCUCCCAGCCAUGCUGCAGGGCCAGCUGACAGACAGGCCGAUAUUCUAUUACCGUGGCAACACGCUGAUGGCGGUCACUCUCGGCCAGUACAAGGCCCACUUCUGGACCUGGACCAAUUCCUGGGAGGAGUUCAGACAGGGCAUUGAUUUCUGCCCUGGGCAGAACGUCUCAGGAGUCACCACCCACACGCAAGAGGAGCACACAAAGCUGCCCCUGAUCUUCCACCUAGGACGCGACCCGGGAGAGAGGUUCCCCCUCAGCUAAGCUGUGAUGAGCGGCACCACAGGCCGUGGUGGGCAGCCCCUGAGACCUUCAGCCAUCUUGCAGACGCCUCCACAGCAGAAGCAAACCUGGGUGCCCGGGGUAUGGGCUCCCUCGAGGUGGGUCAAAGGAGAGAGAUGGCGGCUGAGCCUCUGAGAAGCCCACCCUGACAGCAGACCCACGUGAUAUGGCUUCUCAGACACACCCACAAGAAGGAUGAAGCAACGAGCCGGUCAUAGUGGAAGCUCGGUGCAACUCCUGCCCUGCCCCUCGCUGGCUGUGAGACCAUGGCCGGACGGCCCCCCUCCCUCGCCUCAGUGUCCCCCGAAAUUCGCAGUCACGGUGCCUGCCUCGCAGGGCUAUGCAGAGACAUGCAGAACACACCCGCCUGCAAGUGCUCUCAUUAGAUCCACAUCCUUGCUACUCGGGGUGUGCUGCGGCAUUUGGAGUCACUACCCCAGAGAAGACGGUCCCCUCGGGCAGCUGCCUGCAGCCCCCUGUGCUCCAGAUGGGGAGACCUAGACCUAGGGUGGGAUGUGACUGGCCCAGGGUUACCCUAGGGGGAUGCAGAGCUCUGGGCAAGAAGACCCUGCAGCCGCUGCCUGGCCCGGAAGGAUUCGGGGUGAAUUUGGGGCCUUCUGGGGCUCCCCACAUACACUCACCUCACAUCACCACCGAGAAGCCUUGCCACCCAAACUACUGAACUUGGUUAAGCCCGUCCUUUCCAGUGAACUUGGCCCAGAGUCCUGGAGAGACAUGAGACACACCUGAAACCCUGCGUGGCCCGUGGGUAGAGUGGGUGCAGCCAACAGCAGGGAGCCGGCGGGUGUGGAGGCCCGAGGAGCGGGCUGGCCUGGGAAUGACAGUCUCAGAGGGACCCAGAGACAGGGUGAAUGGGGCAGGAGCAGCCACUCCUGAAACAAAGCUGGGCCAGAGGGCUUAAGAAGGGGCACAGGAGUGGGAAAGAGGCAACCGGGAGCCGCAGAGCCCUGGUGCAGCUCAGGGACACUGGGUGAUGCCCUCGCUGGUUCUGGCUAAGGCCGAGGCCCUUGCGGCUGCCGUCCCUGUCACGUGCCUCUGCCUGAAAUCUCCUUUGUAGGCUUUGCCAGCACCGAGUAUGUGGAUGCCCUUGGCAGGAUCACCCCGGUCGUCCUGCAGCACCAGGAGGCCUUGGUCCCUGGACAGCCA
RNA transcript from Diceros bicornis minor, 2682 nucleotides. It is a transcript of the gene named galactosamine (N-acetyl)-6-sulfatase, with no coding region annotated. NCBI's taxonomy places the organism in Eukaryota, Metazoa, Chordata, Mammalia, Perissodactyla, Rhinocerotidae. The transcript has 14 exons. The record is from RefSeq and is a predicted model, not a curated record.